This is a long non-coding RNA of Pieris napi, 433 nucleotides long. RefSeq lists it as uncharacterized. The transcript is spliced from 4 exons. The record is from RefSeq and is a predicted model, not a curated record. NCBI's taxonomy places the organism in Eukaryota, Metazoa, Arthropoda, Insecta, Lepidoptera, Pieridae.
AAUAUGUAAAUAAAAAUAAUACGAACAAGAAUACGGGUCUCACACGAUCACAAACCAGUCAAAGAUCGACGCUCAAUCCGCGAAGGCUGUAGUUAAAAAUGCAGACUUUAUUAAUGAUAGCAAUCUCAGUUUUAGUUAUUGUUUCUUUAGCUGAUACGAGGCCCGCUGAGAAAACGUUAGAAGAAAACCAAAUAGAGACUGUAACUCAGGGGCACAGAGAAAAACGUAAUCCGCAGUCAUAUUCUUAUUCAUAUCAAGAAUCGCAUAGCAGCAGCUAUAGUCAUUCUUCAUCAUCCAGUUAUAAAUACAGUUACAGUGGUUCCGGGCCUGUGAAAUUUAUCAUCGUUGGCAACGGGAAUGGAAAUAAAAACUAUAUACACACUAGCUGAUACGAAAUAAAUUAAAACGAUAUUAAAUAAAUAAAUAUAUUUAU